CUUACUGAACAACGAAUUAAAACAACAAAAUGCACAUUACCAUACCCAAAAAAUAUUGUUGGAUUGAAAAUUAAUUAUUUAUCAAUGCCUGAUACAAUGACAUGAAGUGCGAUCAUCCAGCAGACUAUUUCAUCCACAGUUUAGACUUUAGACCAACAGAGACCUAGAAACAGCAUCUACCAUGAAAGGCAUGACUAAUUAAAAAUGGGGGCAAAAGUAGUGGUGUCACUAUCAUGAUGUACAGAAAACAAGGAUGUAAAUGUCAGCAAAAGACCAGAGCAUCCCAAAUUAAAUGAGAGUAGAAAUAAAAAUGAAAAAAACAAAUUAAAUUAAUUAGUCAAUCGCAACCAAGUUCAAAACUGUUGAAGAUAUACUGAAGAAAAGGGAGAGAGGGAGGCUGAACCAAGUUCCCACUUCCUUGACUCUCCACCUAAAUCUACUUUAAAAUCUCUCAAAAAUUCAAGAAACCCUUAAAAAAGAAUCUUGAAAACAAAAAGCCCAGCAAUUAGAAAGCAGAGAAGGCGAAGAUGAAGAGGGAGGCUGAAAUUCAAGGAACUCUCAAAACUAAGUGCACUUAAACAUAAUGGAGAGGAGAUCCAUGACUUACUGUGUAAUGCAUAAAUUACAGGAACGGUGAUUCUAUAUCCCACCAUAAUCAACACAAAAUCACAUGGAUAGCAUGCCAAUAACAAGUGUAGAAAAAUGCAGAACUUAUAUAACUAUUGGCGACAUAAUUCAGUUAUCACAGAGCUUACUUAAUUAUAAGAAUAUAAAAACUAAGAUGCCAUAAAAUAGGUGCCUCCCUCUCUUGAAAAGCGGGAGGAAUACUUAGUAAGUAUGAAUGGGAAACUAAAUACAUGGUGACUUGAUCAAGAGAAAAAAAACAUAGUUGGCUUCUAGAAAAAAGAAGCAUGUGAAAACUCAAAAGACAGAAUUUAAAGCCACCACAGAGGGGCUAGGGCUUCCGGUGGAGACGAAGGAGGGGGGGGGGCGAGAGAG
Molecule: long non-coding RNA, 999 nt
Filed under: Phoenix dactylifera (date palm)
Lineage: Eukaryota; Viridiplantae; Streptophyta; Magnoliopsida; Arecales; Arecaceae
Description: long non-coding RNA (PDAC_LNC016506)
Source: RNAcentral